This 201-nucleotide long non-coding RNA is filed under the name Arabidopsis lyrata. RNAcentral's name for it is "long non-coding RNA (ALYR_LNC002719)". The record is from RNAcentral. Lineage: Eukaryota; Viridiplantae; Streptophyta; Magnoliopsida; Brassicales; Brassicaceae.
CAUCCUUUGCUUUCUUGAGGGACAUUAGGCCGUACAAAACCGCUUGGCGUGGCAAAUGAAGGGGCUUCACUCGUGGUGCCAAUAUAUCAACUCAACUGGUGAAACACUAGAGUUAGUCUUGGCCGAUGAGCAGGUAAUGAUUUAUUAAAAUCUGUUUUUGUUAUAAAUUAUUUUCGUUUUUGAUUUUGCGAUAAAGUCUUC